UAGUUUUGGAAAGAUCUAUUGGUUAGGUGAGAACUUCUUCCAGUUGCUGGCUUGUCCUCCUCCUCCUCCUUACACAUCCCCUAGAACCUAUGAGGCAUCUGGAGGUGGUGCUCUAUGCUGUGUCUAUGCUCGCUGUUACAUUAAUUUAAAUAAAUUGUGCAAAUAAAAAAAAAAUAGAAAAAGAAAAAAAACAAACCCCUAAACCCUUCAUUCUGUGCAAAAAUAAAUCAAAAGAUUGGAGUUUCCAAUCCAGUUUUUUGUCCAAUGAGGUAAAAGCUGUUGUGUAAUGGCCUGUCCCUUUCUUCUCUCUGAAGGUCCCAACCCCAUGUGUCCCACUUGUCUGGAUUAAAAUUUGAAGUCUGGCAGUCUGGUUCUUUUCAUAGCUCCAGAGGAUUUUUGGGAGCAUGGGAUGCAUGGACCUGUUGACCCACAAAACUCUGGAGAAUGUUGGCUGUGGAUAAAAACAUCUGGAAGUUUCUACCAUCUUUUUACCCUGUUUUUCCUGGAUCAACCUGUGUCGUUUGUGGUCUUGCCCUGAGGAUUAUAGCAUACAGUCACUUACUGGAAUACCUUUCCAUGCAUCUUCUUGAAAUGGAGCCACUGCUUUACCCAGCUGGAAGAUAUUUUCUCUUCUCCCAGAGCUUUUCCAGUGCAGCAACACUCCUGUCCAUCAGGUCUCAGUUGACUGCAAAAAGGAGAAGAGUGUGUCAAAGGGAGGUCAGAUCCUGCCAGGGUUUCCUGGGAAAUGAGGAGAAAAAAACCAGGAUAAAGUAACCAAAGUCAGCACCUCACUUCAAGCUGCCAGUGGGACUCCUCCAGGGAGAGAGGGAUUGAGUUACCCUCUGCCUGCAAUUCAUCCCUCAUGCCUAUAAUCAAAUAAUCCAGUAAAACGGCGUCAAAAAGGAUGGGAAAGUUCGGAAAACUUUUUGCUGUAAGUUGAGCUGGGCAAAUGAUGCUCAGAGCUGUGUUUGUGUCUCGGGCACAGAUUUCUCCUCAGAAAGUGCUGGGGAGUAUUUUACCCAAGGUAUUGCAUUGAAGUCCUGAUGUCCAUAAAGUGUGGAGCAGAAUGGAUGUGUCUUCAAAUGCACCAUGCUUGCCCCCAUCUCGGUAGUAGGUCUUAAUUAUUGAGUGCUGUGAUUCUGAUUACAUUUUGCACUUAUGAUUGAUCAAUGUAUGUAGUGCCUUUAUUUGAAUUUAUUAGUUAUUGUUUAAUAUUAUAGUAGGCUUUAUUACAGAUUAGUACUACCUUGCAUUUAUUAGUUUUUCCAUUCUAGAGGAUCUGUUAAGUCUUCCCAGGGUUGAUUCCUAAUCUUAGGAUGCUCCUGCCCCCUUCAAUGCCCUUGGACACAUUAUCCAGUUGUGGUAAAAACCGUCCAGCCCAUUUUCAUUUAUUUUCCAUCUCCUUUUUCCUCCUUAACUUGAUUAUGAAGUUAUGAAGUCAUUGAGCUAACAACAGUAUUAUUUGGUUCCAAUUUACAUUAUUGACAGUUUAGCUUUCUCUGGGUUAAAUGGCAUCCUGAUAUUCCCUGCCAAUACUACUUUUUGUCUUGUUAAUGUUGGACUAACCUUCAAGGAAUAGAUUUUGAAAAAUUAUUUUUGAGGUUAUGCUAAUUUUUGCCAUGUAGGGGCUGUGUGACUUUCAGAAAGUUGCAUUUCAGCAGCAGGCUGGACUAGACAGAACACUGGUGCACUCUGUGACGCCAAGGAAAUAAUUUGCUGCAGCGCCCUACCACAUGCAAUCCUUGUUUUUCUUGGGAUAUCUCCCAUGGACUUU
Molecule: long non-coding RNA, 1774 nt
Filed under: Lonchura striata (white-rumped munia)
Lineage: Eukaryota; Metazoa; Chordata; Aves; Passeriformes; Estrildidae
Description: domestica (Bengalese finch) lncRNA (ENSLSDG00000000678.1)
Source: RNAcentral